CUUGUAGUAUUGCCUAUACAUUCUUGUAUGUUUGAUUGCAGGAUGUUGUCGGCGUGCACUUCUCCCCUAGUAGGACGUCGCGACCCGUUGAAUUUCGGUCUAUGGCCCAAGUGGGAGCUUUUGAAUUCAUUUUCGAAAACCCUUGGUGUUUCCUGGCCGGAAUUCGGCGGUAUACGCAUGGUAUUGAGCCGCUCAUUAAUAUGUGCGUUCUUAUCCAUCGCAAGCGAGGUUAGUUACUGAUAGUUCGGACCUAGUGCCGGCGUUGGUGCUAAUCAGCUGUUGGUUGUAUGGAAUUCUAGAACUGGCUCUAUGAAAUACCGGUCAGCGAUGCUACUGCUUUGGGUACUUUCAGGACCCGUCUUGAAACACGGACCAAGGAGUCUAACAUGUACGCGAGUCAUUGGGAUUAUUUUAAAUUAAACCUAA
RNAcentral lists this ribosomal RNA (426 nucleotides) under Habrobracon hebetor. RNAcentral's name for it is "partial 28S large subunit ribosomal RNA". Lineage: Eukaryota; Metazoa; Arthropoda; Insecta; Hymenoptera; Braconidae. The record is from RNAcentral.